RNAcentral lists this ribosomal RNA (197 nucleotides) under Clostridioides difficile. RNAcentral describes it as "partial 23S ribosomal RNA". It matches the Rfam family "Bacterial large subunit ribosomal RNA", at positions 2726 to 2925 of the family's 2925-position model. Lineage: Bacteria; Bacillati; Bacillota; Clostridia; Peptostreptococcales; Peptostreptococcaceae. The record is from RNAcentral.
CUGCCAAGGGCAUGGCUGGGUAGCUAUGUACGGAAUGGAUAAGCGCUGAAAGCAUCUAAGCGCGAAGCCAACUUCAAGAUAAGAUUUCCCACCGCAAGGGUAAGACCCCAGAAAGACUAACUGGUUGAUAGGUCGAAGGUGUAAGUGCAGCAAUGUAUUUAGCUUAUCGAUACUAAUAGGUCGAGGACUUGACCAAU